RNAcentral lists this ribosomal RNA (869 nucleotides) under uncultured organism. RNAcentral's name for it is "bacterial SSU rRNA". It matches the Rfam family "Bacterial small subunit ribosomal RNA", at positions 1 to 868 of the family's 1533-position model. The record is from RNAcentral.
GGCUUAGAGUUUGAUCAUGGCUCAGGAUGAACGCUAGCGGCAGGCUUAACACAUGCAAGUCGAGGGGCAUCAUUGGAGUAGCAAUACUUCAGAUGGCGACCGGCGCACGGGUGCGUAACGCGUAUGCAACCUACCUUUAACAGGGGGAUAACACUGAGAAAUUGGUACUAAUACCCCAUAACAUCGCAGACGGCAUCGUUUGCGGUUGAAAACUCCGGUGGUUAGAGAUGGGCAUGCGUUGUAUUAGCUGGUUGGUGGGGUAACGGCUCACCAAGGCAACGAUACAUAGGGGGACUGAGAGGUUAACCCCCCACAUUGGUACUGAGACACGGACCAAACUCCUACGGGAGGCAGCAGUGAGGAAUAUUGGUCAAUGGACGCAAGUCUGAACCAGCCAUGCCGCGUGCAGGAUGACGGCUCUAUGAGUUGUAAACUGCUUUUGUACGAGGGUAAACGCAGAUACGUGUAUCUGUCUGAAAGUAUCGUACGAAUAAGGAUCGGCUAACUCCGUGCCAGCAGCCGCGGUAAUACGGAGGAUCCAAGCGUUAUCCGGAUUUAUUGGGUUUAAAGGGUGCGUAGGCGGUUCGAUAAGUUGGAGGUGAAAUGUUAGGGCUUAACCCUGAAACUGCCUCAAUACUGUUGGGCUAGAGAGUAGUUGCGGUAGGCGGAAUGUAUGGUGUAGCGGUGAAAUGCUUAGAGAUCAUACAGAACACCGAUUGCGAAGGCAGCUUACCAAACUAUAUCUGACGUUGAGGCACGAAAGCGUGGGGAGCAAACAGGAUUAGAUACCCUGGUAGUCCACGCAGUAAACGAUGAUAACUCGUUGUCGGCGAUACACAGUCGGUGACUAAGCGAAAGCGAUAAGUUAU